Molecule: non-coding RNA, 2068 nt
Organism: Myodes glareolus (Bank vole)
Lineage: Eukaryota; Metazoa; Chordata; Mammalia; Rodentia; Cricetidae
Source: RefSeq, a predicted model, not a curated record
AAUAUUGUAAAUGUAAUCUUACUUGAUAACUGUUUUGUUGUAUAUAGUUAUACUAUGUUAGAGUUAAAACUUUUCUUUCUAGAAAAAGAAGAAAAUGUUGUAGAAUGUUACUCUAAGGUGUAUUACUUUUGUCUGUGUUGUAUUUGUUUAACUCUGUAAAAAAUGUCUUACUGUGCCUGUCUAAGACCCCUGGUGGUCUAAUAAAGAACUGAAUGGCCAACAGUGAGGCAGGAGAAAAAAUAGACAGGACUGUCAGACACAGAGUAUAAAUAGAAGGAAAAAUCUGGGAGAAAAAAAAGGAGGAGCCAGAGAAGGAGGAAACACCUGGGGUCGGCCACCCAGCUCCACAGUCAGCCAUGGGGUAGGAGUGAAAGUAAGAUUAUGGCAGAAGAAAAGGAAAAGCCCAGAGGGAAAAGGUAGAUGGAUAAUUUAAGUUAAGAGAAGUUGACAGGACACAAGCCAAGCUAAGGCCAAGCAUUUAUAAUUAAGAAAAUAAUAAGACUCCGUGUAUGUAUUUGGAAGCUGGGUAGCAGCCCCCGUAAAAGUGAUACUACCAGCAAUAAUUGGGUGACCUCAACUGAUACACAUUUAACAUCCAUCCAUUUUCCUGUAAAUUUUGUGAUUAUAAUUUUUUAGGGCUAAAUAGCAUACCCUCUGUGUGUGCGUCAUAAACAUAUACAUUUUUAUUUACCGCCUUAUUUUCUAUUAAUAUGUUCUUGGACAUCUGUGUCGGCUCAGGUUCUUUACAAUUGAGAAUAAAGAAGCAAUAAACAAUUAUAUCUAUAGUGCGGUGUGCGGUUCCCUGAGCAUAAGCCCAGGGCUGAAAUAGUGGGGGCAGUGCAGAGACUACAGUUCUGGUUCCAGUGGUCACUGCAGCACUCAUAGCCUGUGCUGUUGUGGUCUCAGAGGCUAUGUGUGUCUGUGACUCUAACCACAUCCUGGAGAUGGUAGACUGCACUGCAUCUGACGUUUAGUACCUGCCUUCUGCAAGCAUCCAAGGGGUGACCAAGGAUUUGAUUCCCUGUGGUCCCCUGACUGCCUAGUGAACAGCCAGACCAACAUGCACAGACUUCUGAUGUCACUGGAAGGAAAUUCUGGUUGCAGGCUGCUCUCCUGUGGCUGUGAGGCUGGGCACCGUUUUAUAUGUUUGGACCUGUACAGCCUUGUUUCCACAGUUAACCUGAGGCCGCAUGUAGUUAUGGCGAGCUAUGUACUCCAAGUUGGGCAAAAUGGCUGGAUGCAUUAUCUGUGUUUAUGCAGAUUCCUUUAUACCAGGAGAUAAACAUUGGUACUCUUGGUUGGACUUAGGCAGCCUGUUAGCUGUUUUAAUCACACAAUGUCUACUUUGGAUAUUUGCUGAUCUCCUUUUCUCUGUCUCAGAGUCAAGGCACUGACUCAGGACAGAAGAUUAGGAGGACCCUUAGAGAUGCACAUUCUUAGGGCUGCUGUAGGGACACCAAACCCUGGAUUCCACAGCUUAUAUUCCUAUAUAUUUAAAAUUAGCAAUACUCCAAAAGGCAUUGAUUCUAUGUAUUUGAAAAGUGGAAACAUAAACAAGAGUAGCCGGGUGUGUUGGGGUAGGAAGCAAGGCAGACCACAGUCACAGGACAGAGGAAUCUCAAGGACAGAGGACAGAGGAAUCUCAAGGACAGAGGGAAUACCCUAUCACAGUUACAGGAAGCAGGCUUGGCGACCCAUUAGAAAGAACUGGCAUUAGGGACAAGUGUGACUUCUUUAGCUGGAGAGCCGCACAGCUAAGGAGCCCCCCAGCACAGAAAAGUGGUCCCACACCCAUAGUCACUGUGAGUUGGGAGCGGCCUCCCUGGCUCCGUAGUCUGCUGGAUGAUUAGGGUUUCAGGAGGGUAAAGAGGUGGAGGGUGACUGCUGGGAUACUGCUGUCAUGGCAGCUCCAGCUCAGGAACCUCCUGGACCCCACAGGCUGUCCUUUCUGGGUUUCCUCACCUCGGGCUGUGAGCACAGCAAAUUUGCCUUGUAUCCAGUCCAUGCAUCGGGCACUGGGCUCCUUUAAUGUAACUGGAGACUUAAUAAAGGUUCAUCAAAGCCUGUU